ACCCAGACUCCUACGGGAGGCAGCAGUGGGGAAUAUUGGGCAAUGGGCGCAAGCCUGACCCAGCAACGCCGCGUGAAGGAAGAAGGCUUUCGGGUUGUAAACUUCUUUUCUGGGGGACGAAGAAAGUGACGGUACCCCAGGAAUAAGCCACGGCUAACUACGUGCCAGCAGCCGCGGUAAUACGUAGGUGGCAAGCGUUAUCCGGAUUUAUUGGGUGUAAAGGGCGUGUAGGCGGGAAUGCAAGUCAGAUGUGAAAACUAUGGGCUCAACCCAUAGCCUGCAUUUGAAACUGUAUUUCUUGAGUGCUGGAGAGGCAAUCGGAAUUCCGUGUGUAGCGGUGAAAUGCGUAGAUAUUAGGAGGAACGCCAGUGGCGAAGGCGGCCUGCUGGACGACAACUGACGGUGAGGCGCGAAAGCGUGGGGAGCACACAGGAUUAGAUACCCCUGUAA
Molecule: ribosomal RNA, 450 nt
Filed under: uncultured bacterium
Lineage: Bacteria
Description: bacterial SSU rRNA
Rfam family: Bacterial small subunit ribosomal RNA
Source: RNAcentral